This 468-nucleotide ribosomal RNA is filed under the name uncultured bacterium. RNAcentral's name for it is "partial 16S ribosomal RNA". It matches the Rfam family "Bacterial small subunit ribosomal RNA", at positions 28 to 507 of the family's 1533-position model. The record is from RNAcentral.
GACGAACGCUGGCGGCGUGCUUAACACAUGCAAGUCGAACGGAAAGGCCCUGCUUUUGUGGGUUGCUCGAGUGGCGAACGGGUGAGUAACACGUGAGUAACCUGCCCUUGACUUUGGGAUAACUUCAGGAAACUGGGGCUACUACCGGAUAGGAGCUCCUGCUGCAUGGUGGGGGUUGGAAAGUUUCGGCGGUUGGGGAUGGACUCGGGGCUUAUCAGCUUGUUGGUGGGGUACUGGCUUACCAAGGCUUUGAUGGGUAGCCGGCCUGAGCGGGUGACCGGCCACAUUGGGACUGGAAUACGGCCCAGACUCCUACGGGGGGCAGCGGUGGGAAAUUUGGCACAAUGGGCGGAGGCCUAAUGCAGCAACGCCGGGUGCGGGAUGACGGCCUUCGGGUGGUAAACCGCUUUCGCCUGUGACGAAGCGGGAGUGACGGUAAUGGGUAAAGAAGCACCGGCUAACUACGUG